CCUACGGGCGGCAGCAGUCGAGAAUCAUUCACAAUGGGGGAAACCCUGAUGGUGCGACGCCGCGUGGGGGAAUGAAGGUCUUCGGAUUGUAAACCCCUGUCAUGUGGGAGCAAAUUAAAAAGUUAGUACCACAUGAGGAAGAGACGGCUAACUCGGUGCCAGCAGCUGCGGUAAUACAGAGGUCUCAAGCGUUGUUCGGAAUCACUGGGCGUAAAGCGUGCGUAGGCUGUUUAGUAAGUCGGGUGUGAAAGGGGGGGGCUCAACCCGCGGAGGGCAAAUGAUACUGCGAGACUAGAGUAAAGGAGAGGGAAGCGGAAUUCUCGGUGUAGCAGUGAAAUGCGUAGAUAUCGAGAGGAACACUCGUGGCGAAGGCAGGUUCCUGGACAUUAACUGACGCUGAGGCACGAAGGCCAGGGGAGCGAAAGGGAUUAGAUACCCGUGUAGUC
RNAcentral lists this ribosomal RNA (446 nucleotides) under uncultured bacterium. RNAcentral's name for it is "partial 16S ribosomal RNA". It matches the Rfam family "Bacterial small subunit ribosomal RNA", at positions 338 to 795 of the family's 1533-position model. The record is from RNAcentral.